RNAcentral lists this ribosomal RNA (160 nucleotides) under uncultured Citrobacter sp. RNAcentral describes it as "partial 16S ribosomal RNA". It matches the Rfam family "Bacterial small subunit ribosomal RNA", at positions 355 to 507 of the family's 1533-position model. Lineage: Bacteria; Pseudomonadati; Pseudomonadota; Gammaproteobacteria; Enterobacterales; Enterobacteriaceae. The record is from RNAcentral.
UGGGGAAUAUUGCACAAUGGGCGCAAGCCUGAUGCAGCCAUGCCGCGUGUAUGAAGAAGGCCUUCGGGUUGUAAAGUACUUUCAGCGGGGAGGAAGGUGUUGUGGUUAAUAACCGCAGCAAUUGACGUUACUCGCAGAAGAAGCACCGGCUAACUCCGUG